RNAcentral lists this ribosomal RNA (429 nucleotides) under bacterium. RNAcentral describes it as "partial 16S ribosomal RNA". It matches the Rfam family "Bacterial small subunit ribosomal RNA", at positions 355 to 776 of the family's 1533-position model. The record is from RNAcentral.
UAGGGAAUCUUCCACAAUGGACGCAAGUCUGAUGGAGCAACGCCGCGUGAGUGAAGAAGGUUUUCGUAUCGUAAAGCUUUGUUGUUGGUGAAGAAGGAUAGAGGCAGUAACUGGUCCUUAUUUGACGGUAAUCAACCAGAAAGUCAUGGCUAACUACGUGCCAGCAUCCGCGGUAAUACGUAGGUGGCAAGCGGUGUCCGGCUUUAUUGGGCGUAAAGCGAGCGCAGGCGGAAAGAUAAGUCUGAUGAUGAAGACCACGGCUCAACCGUGGAAGUGCAUCUUAAACUAUCGUUCUUGAGUGCAGGAGAGGAGAGUGGAGUACCAUGUGUAGCGGUGGUAUGCGUAGAUAUAUGGAGGAACACCAGUGGCGAAGGCGGCUCUCUGGUCUGCAACUGACGCUGAGGCUCGGAAGCAUGGGUAGCGAACAGG